This 457-nucleotide unclassified non-coding RNA is filed under the name Hevea brasiliensis (rubber tree). Lineage: Eukaryota; Viridiplantae; Streptophyta; Magnoliopsida; Malpighiales; Euphorbiaceae. The record is from RNAcentral.
AACGAAUCCAACCCCUGCGGUCUCCUCCUACCCUUUCCCCCAUCGAAUCAUCCAUUAAAUCCUUGGCCUUUCCUGAGGGGGAGAGGAGAACCGUUGCCGAUCUCUGCAAUUCCUCGAUCUGUUCAUCUCUCUUGGGUUGCUUUAAUUCAAGUCACCUGACUUUCCGGUUCCCUGUGAUUUGUUUUUGUAUAGGCGCUUCGUUUUACGUAAAGAUUUUAAGGAGCGAACAUUUUCCUUAAUGCAAGGUCAAGGGAAUAGUGUUGAAUCCUUUGCUGAAACAUUUGAGUUUGACCGUGGGUCUGCCAUGGGCAACCCCGGCAUGGAUCACCAAGUAUACUUAAAUGACUCACUCCGUGGUCCAGUUGAAACUCAGACCUUACAAGAAUAUCGACUAUCUUCAGGUGAUACAAAUAUGCCAUAUGCAAAUGCAACAAGUCAAGAUGGUGCUAGUUUAAAU